UACGUAGGGUCCGAGCGUGUCCGGAAUUACUGGGCGUAAAGAGCUCGUAGGUGGUUUGUCGCGUUGUUCGUGAAAACUCACAGCUUAACUGUGGGCGUGCGGGCGAUACGGGCAGACUUGAGUACUGCAGGGGAGACUGGAAUUCCUGGUGUAGCGGUGAAAUGCGCAGAUAUCAGGAGGAACACCGGUGGCGAAGGCGGUUCUCUGGAACGCAACUGACGCUGAGACGCGAAAGCGUGGGGAGCGAACAGG
Molecule: ribosomal RNA, 252 nt
Filed under: uncultured bacterium
Lineage: Bacteria
Description: partial 16S ribosomal RNA
Rfam family: Bacterial small subunit ribosomal RNA
Source: RNAcentral